Carassius auratus (goldfish) is the source of this 2114-nucleotide long non-coding RNA. RefSeq lists it as uncharacterized. NCBI's taxonomy places the organism in Eukaryota, Metazoa, Chordata, Actinopteri, Cypriniformes, Cyprinidae. The transcript is spliced from 3 exons. The record is from RefSeq and is a predicted model, not a curated record.
CCAGCCAAGAGAGGUAUUGAAGGUUUUAAUGUCAGUGUCUUCAUGUUUCAUAAGAGAUGCAGUAAUGAUUUCCUCUCACUCUCCUCCUGUCACGUAUUGCUAUGCAGAGGUGUGCCUUGGGAAAACAAACAGUUGUGACUGGUGACAUAGUUAGCUAUGAAAGAAACCGGUCUCCUUCGUGGAUGAUAAAAUAACAACACAGCUGGCUCGGAUGCAUUUGGUUGCCUUGCUCAUCUUCACCGUCACCUCGGCCCAGAUAAACCAGCGGCUGAUCGAUUGAUCUCCGGGGGGGUCAGAGGAGGCUAUCUGCCUUCUUUAGCCAAUCGCUCUCUGGAGACGAGAGGAAUACACUCUCAACUUUGAUCAUCCCAUCACAGCACUUCUGCACGGUGACUCCUGCAAGAUUAGAUACCCCUUCCAUUUGCAUAAUUUAGUCAAACUAUUUGCAGAGCGAUCUUGUGGCAUAUGCUUCUAACAUACAGGCCCCCUAUCUGGCCCUGCUCCGAACCGCUCGCGUGCCUCUCUGAUGAAUGGGCUUUCAAAGCCGCGUGUUUAAAUUACCCCUCAAGAUGAGUUGUGCCGGCACGCUGGACACCGCGGAACUGAUAAAGAAGAUCGUCUGGCCCAUUACGUCAGGCCCAAAACACAAAGCCUUAAUCCCUAAUCUCAACAGUCUUUAAUCAGAGUCAGUUUCACGUCCAUGGCGCUGGUGUAUCGAUACUCAAGCUCAUGUGUGGUCAUGAAGAUCCUGUGUGACUGAGAUAGCAAAGGCCUUGAUUUCUAGGUUAUCCGAAAGCUGGAGGUUUUUAUCGUUUCUUUGAGGGAUUGAUUUAAAAUGUAUCCGCAGUUGACCAAGAAUUAGUGUCAAAGCAUUAAACGUUGACUGCCGAGGUUUUUGUCUUCAUGUAAGAGAGAUAUCUUGACUCUGCUCCAUAAAACGAUCUCGCCUGGGUCAUAUCCUGUGGUGAUUCGUUAGUUCAAGACAGACAUGCGGAGUAAAAGCGAAGAAGCAUGAAAUCCCAGGAUUCAUCACAGUGUCCGUCACUUUUUCUGUCUGUGUGUGUGAGUCGAGAGACGUUCCAUCACUGUUAGUCUAGACUGGAGUGUUUUGCAUUCUCAGCUCUAAUUCAAACCUGUGGUGUCUGCUGUUGGGAUCACAUCUGACACUCCUGCAACACGCCAGAUAACAAGAAUGUGAAAUCUUCGAUUCAGGGGUCAAAAAUGCAUCAUUUAAGACCUAAAUCUUUUGGUAAGAUCGUAAAAUCAACAAUGAGCAGUCGAAUUACAAGCCAUUGGGAUUCACUGAUGAAGAAAAGCAAACAUUUAUUUCUCAUUGCAUCUGUCAGAUAAGGGCAAAGUUCCAUAAUUUGUGGGUUAAUAAGGAAACUAACAGAAAGGUUGCUCUGUGGCAUUCUUUACAUGUGUAACCACAUAAAUGGGGCACUUCUGGCUCAAGUGCGAGCCGUGCCUAUGCACAGUAAACCUAUGAACCUGCUAUCAGCUGCACAUUCCUGUCAGUAGUAACGGAGAGAUGAGUACAAUCACUAUGGCUGCACAAGAAUGAAAAACAAGCUUGUUCAGCUAUGUAGAAAUUCACUUUUGAAGGUCAAACAUUUUUUUCUUUCUUCCUUUUCUUUCUGUCGUUUUUUUUUUUAAUUAGACAGAGAAGAAAAAUGUCUCUGAAUGUUUUGAAGAAGUGCUAUUAGAGGGUCCCUAGUGGUCUCGCCUGAAGAAAUUCUGUGAAAAUCAUUUCAAGCCUCUUCCUGGGACUAAUAGAAGAACUUCCAAGCAGUCUGUAGGGACCAUUCAUAGACGUCAUUUUCACUUUUGUUUGUGAAAUGUUAUAUACAACUGUUUAUUUGAACCUUUUUUUUUUAGCUACUGCAACUCUUACUGAGUGAGAGUUUAGGACCAGCUGAUUUGUUUUAAAAGUUUAGUAUUCUACUACACCUAAAAAGAAAACUAAACCAAACCAAACAAAAACAAUCUGGCACGGUUUACAUGUAUGCCUAACACUAGUUUCCUGUCGCAGAAGUGCACAGACUGCUUGGAUUUUGCCAAAAAAAUGUAUAUGUUCACAUGCCGUACCAUUCAAAAGUUGUUUUUAUGUUUUA